RNA transcript from Hemicordylus capensis (graceful crag lizard), 9356 nucleotides. RefSeq lists it as uncharacterized. The transcript has 3 exons. NCBI's taxonomy places the organism in Eukaryota, Metazoa, Chordata, Lepidosauria, Squamata, Cordylidae. The record is from RefSeq and is a predicted model, not a curated record.
AUGCGGCAGGCUCGGACAGAUUCUGGUCGCCCUGAGCCAUGCUGGCGGCGGGGCGCCCCACUCCCUUCUCCCCUCUCCUCGGCUGACAACGAGACAGUGUGCAACACACAACUACCUAGGAGUCUAGGAAACAAGCGCUGCAUUCGGGUUAGAAACAAGGAUUACCUUCUAAAACAAGUUCAGACACCAGCAGAGAGACUCACCGUUCUCCUGAAAGCCCGGCUUGCUUCUCUGAGUAGUCAGCUGAGUGCUGCACCUGAUGCAUAUCCUGUAUCCCUUGCCCCAGAGGAGGAGGAGGAGGAGGAGGAGGAGAGCCCUGAAAGGAUGAUCCUCCUCCUCCUCCUCCCUGAAGGGACCAUCCUGCAGGAACUUAGCAGCGCUUGCUGCACCCCAGAACUCUCUUCCCUCCCUCCCUCCCUCCCUGAGCAUCCCACGAAGGGGUUCCCAGAGGCAGGUCUCUCCAUCAAGGGGGCCUCCUUAGGACCAGGCGGAAGGAGCGGGGCAGAGGCACCUCUGGGGAAACCAGAAGAGGCCAGCCUCAGAGAGCCACCUGAUCCUCCAAAGAAUCCGUUGGGCAACCCAGCUGCCGCCGCCUGGAGCCACAGAGACCUGCCACAUGAUCAAGAAGGGAGAGGCCAGGAAGUGGGUUGGCUUCCUGGCCAGAAGGAGGGCAUAAGAAGCCAGCUGGGCUCAGUCCGCCUCUCUGGCUGCUGCAGAGGGAGAGCAUCAGCGGAGCAGGGAGAGGAGCAGGAAGGAAGGAAGAGCCAGUAUGGGAGACCAAGCCACAAACUCACACUUACUACAACAACAGUGAACAUUGAUCUACUGUUUUCCCAUCUAAAUUCUCAAAGUGGUUUUCACAGAAAAAUAAAAGGGUGGAUCGAGGCUUCUCUGUCUCCAAAGGGCUCACACUCUAAAAAGAAAAAGGUGGGCGGCACCAGCAACCACCACUGGACAGAUGCUGUGCUGGGCCUUCUCUUCAAAGGCACAUGGAGCAGGAGAGGGGCCUUUUCUCUAACGUGGACCCACUAAAACAGGUACAGUUUUUUAACUUUAAUUCUCAGUUGGAAGCUGGGCGUGUGGGGCCCUCGAAAAUGUGGGCCUUUGGCAAAUGCUACAUGUGCUACUAUGUUCCUCCGCCAGAGCAGGGAGGCUUCGGAAGCCGCGUCUCCUGGUGCCAAGUCACUUCGGUUGGGGGAAGUCCCGAUACCACCGGCUCUGGGGGAGGAAUCUGCGGAAGCCGACCAGCAGCCGCUUGGCCUGCAGAAGCUUCCAGGUCUGGUCCCCAACGGCACCUUCCUGGGAAACGGAGCACACUGGGGAAGGGUCCGAGAAACGCAGGCGGCUGCUGCUGCUGCUGGAGAACCUCUCCCACUCCAGGGUUGGCAGAAGUGGGCUGGGGAAUCCCUGGGCUGACUCGCUGGAAAGCACCUUCCAAUGUUGGUUCAGUGCAGAGGAAGGAGAGCUGGCCUCGGGGCAGCAAGCAGGAGUUGUCUGUCCUUUGUUAAGGAGGGCCCACUCUGGUUUGUAUUUGGAUGGGAGACUACAUGUGUGAGCAAGGGAAGAGAUUCCCCUCAAAGGGAUAAUGGGGCCGCUCUGGGAGGAGUACACGUAGGCUCACAAGCAGAAGGUUCCCAGUUCCCUCCCUGGCAGCAUCUCCAAAAUAGGGCUGAGAGAGAGAUUCCUGCCUGCAACCUGGGAGAAGCUGCUGCCAGUCUGGGUAGACAAUCCUGAGCUGGAUGGACCAAGGGCCUGACUCGGUAGAAGGCAGCUUCCUGUGUUCCAGUAACUGGCAUCUCCAGCGCACAAGGAUCUCUGCAAGGCUGAGGAAAACCUCCUGCUAAACAGCCUUGGAGACCAUACUGGGCUCAGUGGACUGCUGGUUAGCACGUUGGAGCAGGGAGACCCAGGUUCGAAUCCUUGUUCAGCCAUGACCCUCACUGGGUGACUCUGGGCCAGUUUCCUCUCUCUCUCAGCCUAACCCCUGCUAACUUGGCAAAGAGGCACCUUUUAACAUUGUGAUUCUCUUUAUUUAGCAGGCCAUUCUCUUUAUCCAUUCUCUUUAUUUAGCAGGGGGAGAAUAACUGGCCCUAUCUACCCCCAGCACAGGACCUCCAGUGGCUGUUGCUGGUGUCUAUCUUGAGUUUCUUUUUAGAUUGUGAGUCCUUUGGGGACAGGGAGCCAUCUUAUUUAUUUAUUAUUUCUCUGUGUAAACCGUCCUGGGCCAUUUUUGGAAGGGCGGCAUAGAAAUCAUAAUAACAACCACCACCACCACCUACCUCACAAGGUUGUCAUGAGGAUAAACAUCCAGGUACUGCCACCUAAUGGUGCAGCAGGGAAAUGACUUGACUAGCAAGCCAGAGGUUGCUGGUUCAAAUCCCCGCUGGUAUGUUCCCCAGACUAUAGGAAACACCUCUAUCGGGCAGCAGUGAUAUGGGAAGAUGCUGAAAGGCAUCAUCUCAUACUGAGCGGGCGUAGGCAAUGGUCAACCCCUCCUGUAUUCCACCAAAGACAACCACAGGGCUCUGUGUGCGCCAGGAGUUGAAAUUGACUCAACAACACACUUUACCUUUAAACUACUCAGGGCUCCUUGGAGGAAGAGUGGGUUAUACAUAUAAAAACAAAGACAUACAAUACGGGGUACAAGCCUAUAUUUUUCUACCUGAUCUCCAGUGUGGGAUAGGUUUUUCAAAAUGUUUUAACAGUUUCCCUUUUCAUCUCUUACAGAAAAGGAAACCUUUGAUUUCAACAAAAGCCUCCAGAGACUUGCGUUUGCACCCAUCGAUUAGAGAGGACUCCUUUGCCCAUCCCAGUUUAGGCCCUCAAAUUGGGGCUGAAUUGGCCUUCAGGGCUGGGGCUGCCAUCUGGGACCCCAAGUUUGAGCACUCCUGCCGUACAGCAAAAUCCUUCUCCUGCCACUCUGUGGCCUUAAGCGGGGGUCCCAACCGUGGUGUGAAGGCCAUCUCGACAGGGUAGGAUGAAAAGGAAACCUUUGAUUUCAACAAAAGCCUCCAGAGACUUGCAUUUGCAUCCAUUGAUGAGAGAGGACUCCUUUGCCCAUCCCAGUUUAGGCCCUCAAAUUGGGGCUGAAUUGGCCUUCAGGGCUGGGGCUGCCAUCUGGGACCCCAAGUUUGAGCACUCCUGCCGUACAGCAAAACCCUUCUCCUGCCACUCUGUGGCCUUAAGCGGGGGUCCCAACCAUGGUGUGAAGGCCAUCCCGACAGGGUAGGAUGGUGAGCCCCCUUUUUUUGACCACAGUGUGCCCCAGACAGCUAGGCCGUGGGGCGUUUGGGGGUGAGACACACCAAAAGGGGGGUUCUUUUAGCAAAAGGGUAAGGAUAUGGGGAGUGGGGAGAGGUUAGACCACCACACCUUAAACCAAAUAUAAGCAAGCUAACUCGCCUGUUUGAGCAGAGAUUGCAUGUUGAGUCUCCAAGUUCCCCAGAAAGAUCCCUCAUAAAAUUACCAAUAGCUAGAUAAAGACCACAAUAAGAGAGAAAAUACUGUAUUGUGAAAUAUAUACAAUACGUGUAUGUUACAUUUAUAUUAAUGUAAACGGCUGCCAGUGCACUGGAGGAACGGGGUAUACAUAUUUUUGAUGUUGGAUCUUCCAAGUGGUGUCUUAACCUGGGUCAUGUCUGCCUUGGAGCGCCACUUGCCCCACCCUGGUCCAGCAGGGCUUGGCUUCCACAGUGUUUGGCUACUCCACCCCCCAGGCAUAGGGCAGCCUUGCUCUCUCCGUGUCCUCCCUCCAUCCACCCACCUCACUCCCUUGACAUCUGUUAAGAACAAGUGCUGGCCUCAGAAGCAUUUUUUAAACUACAGGUUUUGCAAUUUUGUAGUUUAAUUAAAAAAACACACACUAAAAAGGCAAUCAAAGAUUAUGUAAAUGUUCACAGAGAAGCAAUACCAGAAAAACCAAACGAUAACUUCCAAAAAUAUAGAUGUAUACAAUUUAACAUAUGCAGUUCUGGAUUCAUUUUUUCCUCCAAGUAUUUAUAUACACAAAUAUUCAGACACACAUGCAUACACACACAUCUCUCCACAUACAUCAUACUUGCAUGCCAGACAUAUCGGGCUCUCUCUUUAGCUUAUCUUCAGUGGUUUCAAGCAAAACAAGCCACUGUAUGUUAUCAUUCCAGGAAUUGAUUAAAAGGGACCAAUUCUGAAUAGAUUUUCGGUUUGCCUUCCUUCCCUUGUUCUGACAUUAGUCAAUUUGAUUAGGCACACUAUAUCCCAUACCUUAAGAAGCCAUUCAUACCACACUGGUGAAUCUGGAUUUGUCUAGAUGGUACUAAUUACAACUCUGGCAGCAGUCAGUAAGUGGAUGAUUAACUCUUGGAGGGUUUUCAGAUAGCAGGUUUUACCACCUGUUUACUGUGAGGCUUUACUGUGAUUUUGAAGUUGCCCCUCCAAAAAAUUUGGAUUUUUUAAAAACCCUGGAUAUACUCCAACGUGCAAUCAAAAAAACUGAAUGUGUGAUGUGCUCCCCAAUAGCUUGCAGGGACUCUGGGGUAAGUCUGGCUGGCAUGUGAACACAGCCUUCUAUUCCAGCGAAGAAGCAAGCUAAAAGCUCCGUGUGAAACAUGCCCUAAUGUCUUCCCUUAAUACCACUGUGUUAAUAUUAUUACUAUUACUAUUAUUAUUAUUAUUAUUAGUAGUAGUAUGUAUGUAUUCGAUUUCUAUACUGCCCUUCCAAAAAUGGCUCAGGGCAGUCUAUAUAGAGAAAUAAAUAAAUAAGAUGGAUCCCUGUCCCCAAAGGGCUCACAGUCUAAAAAGAAACAUAAGACAGACACCAGCAACAGCCACCAGAGGUCCUGUGCUGGGGGUGGAUGGGGCCAGUUACUCUCCCCCUGCUAAAUAAAGAGAAUCACCACGUUGAAAGGUGCAUCUUUGCCAAGUUAGCAAAAUGACAGAAUUGGAUAGUUAAGAGGUUUCAAAGGCAAUCAGUAACCAAUAGAUUUACAAGCCAGCCUAGUGACAUCCUAUAGCCCAGCCUAUUUUGUAUCAGUUAGGAUGAUACCCCUUUCUGUAUCCACUGGAGUUACUGAUUUAUGCAAAGUAGUUUUAAAACCCCUUUCUUGGAGCCUGAAGUCUCAAUUUUUCCAGUGACGUUAAAUCUAAGUUUGACCAUAGCUUGGAGGCAAUGUUUGUGUUAUAUGGCGAAUCUGUAAUUACUGAAACUGUGGGAUUCUAUUCUGCUCCAUCCAUUGGGAGAAGAACAUAAGAUCUCAUCUCGAAUCAAGCUUUUAAGUGUGAUUAACUCAUAUUCUUUCCAUAAGUGAAUAUUACCCAAAAGAUGUUUAUUUUCAAUUUCCUUAUUGCAACAGAAAGACAGAGGAUAGGAUCUUGGACUGAGCCAGGUUUGAAUGUGAGAGCCAGUGUGGUGUAGUGGUUAGAGUGCUGGACUAGGACCGGGGAGACCCGAGUUCAGAUCCCCACUCAGCCAUGAAACUAGCUUGAUGACUCUGGGCCAGUCACUUCUCUCUCAGCCUCACCUACUUCACAGGGUUGUUGUGAAAGAGAAACCUAAGUAUGUGGUAGGAACCCUCUGGGCUCCUUGGAGGAAGAGUGGGAUAUAAAUUUAGUAAUAAUAACAACAACAACAACAGCAUGUUAUUUUAUAACAAGUUGAUGCAGAGUUAAAAUGGAUUUGGAUACAUAGUCUCUCUGGGUUAGGGGGAAUUGCUGCUUUACAGAUGGAAGGUAUUGCCUGGGAUAUUGUUUUUGCUUUUGAAUAUCCUCUUUUCAGUACCAGCAUCCAUUUUUAAAGCAUGGCAGGAAAUCAUCAAGUUGACAUGGGUCGAUAAACCCCCUAGACUUUUGAUGAAAACUUUGUGUAAGCCAUUGAAUAAGAGGCAUGACACUCCCUUGAAUGGAAAAAUAUAUAUAUUAGGAAGCAGCUCUUAACCCAACUACUGUUUUGGUGUUCUGGGGAGAGAGCAGUAUUAUUAGAGCAACAAGAUCUUUCAGCAUGUUUGAAGGAUGUGCUUUGAUAUUCCACAAAGAAGGAUCCACUACUAAGUCUCACCAAGGCUCUUUACACCGUCUUGUAUUUUGUUGGUCGGUGACUAGAAUAAAGAUUCCGUUGCAAGGCUCUUUACCCUAACCAGUUAAAAUUCAAAAGUUUGCUUUAUUUUUCUUUCCAGAUUUACUUGCCUUGUCCGCGGCCUCUCGGAAGUCUUGGUCCAGAAUGAGACACAUGAUCUAUUUAGAUAUUGGGAAUUGGCUGUGUUUUACCUCACUUGUCACCUUAAGGGGCGCAGCGGGGAAGUGCUUGACUAACAAGCAGAAGGCUGCCGGUUCGAAUCCCCGCUGGGCCCAUAUCGGGCAGCAGCGAUAGAGGAAGAUGCUGAAAGGCAUCAUCUCUUAAGCUAUUGGGAGAGAAGUGGUCUAGCUGGAGAAGCCACUGGCCCCCUUCUGCCCUGCCCAGGCACUGUAAAACUGUGUCUGGAUUAGGGUCAGGGAGACCCGAGUUCAAAUCCUCAUUCAGCCAUGAAACUCACCGGGCAACUCUGGGUCCAUCAUUUCUCUCUUAGCCUAACCUACCUCAUAGGGUUGUUGUUGUGAGGAGAAACCACCAUGUACACCACUCUGGGCUCCUUGGAGAAAGUGGGAUAUAUGUGUAAAGAUAAAAGUAAAACCCAGGAUGCUGUACACAUGCUCAGUGACUUCAAAUCACCACUUUCUGCUCCUGAUAGUUAUGCUUUGUGUCUACAGAAAUCAGACUAUUGAACUACAACUCCCAUCCCAGAGCUAAUAGGUGACCCAGGCAUGCAGCCUCUUUCUGCCUAUACUUUCAUACUGCCUCAUUUAAAUAGCCCUGAAUCGUAAUAUAAAUUUCUUUACAACCAGUAAAAUACAUACUACAUGCGUAUAUAUACAAUAUAAACCACCUAAUGGUGUAGUGGGGAACUUGCCUAGCGAGCCAGAGGUUGCUGGUUCGAAUCCCCGCUGGUAUGUUUCCCAGAGUAUGGGAAGCUGCUAUAUCGGGUAGUGAUGUGCACGAACCGGUCCGGAGGCCAUUAUAGAGGCCUCCGAACUGGUUCAAACGUGGCCCGGUCCAGAUGUCCGGCGCUGAGGGGGGGUCUCCCUUUAAGGGUGGGGUGGGUUGUACUUACCCCUCCCGCCACUUUUCCCUCUCCAGUGCUCCAUUUUCUGACAAAGUUUUUGGUGCAGCAGCAUUCUUCCCUGCCCCCGUUAUUUUCUAGAAAUACUGGAAGUAGCUGCCGUGCAUGUGCUCGCUUCUGCGAUCUCCCAGAUAGGGCUGGGAGAGACUCCUGCCUGCAACCUGGGAGAAGCCGCUGCCAGUCUGGGUAGACAUUCCUAAGCUAGAGGGACCAAGGGUCUGACUGCGUAUAUGGCAGCUUCCUGUAAGGUUGGAGGUGGCCUAUAGCCCGCAGGCAUUGAUAAACCUGCCCUCCAUACAUUUCUCUAAUCCACUUUGAAAGUCAUCCAAGCUAGUGGCCAUCACUGCAUCCCAUGGCAGAGAAUCUCAUUAAUUGUGUGCUGUGUGUCCACUUUUGUCAGUGAGACAUUGUAGUUCAAAAACAGCUGGAGAGUCAAGUUUGUCCACCCCUGUCCCAGGGCAAGCUACUCAGAAAACAGUUUCCAAUUACGGAUCAUGGGAAGCUGCCUUCUACCAAGUCAGAGCCCUGGGUCCAUCUAGAUUAGCAUUGGCCACAUGGACUGGCUGCAGCAAGGUUGUAGACAGGAGUCUCUCUCAGCCCAAUCUGGAGAUGCUGCCAGGGAGGGAACUUGGAACCUUCUGCAUGCAAGCAGGCAGGAGCUCUUCCCAGAACGGCCCCAACCCCUAAGGGGAAGAUCUUGCAGUGCUCACACAUGUAGUCUCCCAUUCAAAUGCAAACCAGGCUUGACCCUGCUUAGCAAAGGGGCAAUUCAUGCUGGCUACCACAAGACCAGCUCUCCUCCCAUAUUUAAUGCUUCCCUGGUAGUGUAGAUUGCCUGGAGGUCUGUGUCGCUUACCUCCUUUCAAUCUCUGGAAUUCUGUUGGUUAAGGACAGCUUACAUCACCUGCUGUCUUAGGGUAUUAGAAAGGGGAUAAGAUUUACAUUUUAAGUGUCUUGUUUGGAUUAUGCUUUUCACCAUCAUCUCAUAGUCUUGUGCUGAGAAUCAGCACCUCAUAAAUGCCGAGUCUAUGGCUUGUGUGUGUGUAUAUAUGAAGAACUUCAUCAGAAGAGACACUGGACAGACCCUGAGAAUAUAGGAUCAAAUUGACCAUGGCUCUAUUCCUAUUGGUGUCCAUUUGGGCAACCAAGUUCUGAGUUUCAACCCUGCCAGAUACCUAAACCAGAUCACCGUGCCAAAAUACCGCAGAGCUUUGACACAGGCAUGAUGUAACCCCUUGCAAACAGCAGUCCUGGUGUUGCGAGAAAAUCCUCUGGAACCUUGCCUUCCUGUUUAAUGCAGUCCCUUGCUUUCAUCCUUCCAUCAGAUUUGACAGAGAAUGGGGCGUCUUACUGAACUAAAGAGGAUUAGGCAAGGUUCCCUUAAUAGAGCUCCUUGCCUGACAGAAUUGAGUCAAAUUCAACAAGGGGUGUGUGCUCAAAUAAGCCUUUUAUUCAUGAUCAUGAAGGCAGAGUACAAGCCAAAAAAGUCUGACAAGCACUGCAUGCCCAACAUACACAGUUGCCAGUUUAUACAGAUUUUUAAAAGCAAGCAAAUCAGUAAAUCCUGCAAUACAUGUCUUUGUAAUUAAACAGAUGUUUUCAUGUUGUGUCAAUUAGCCUUGGACAUGAGGUACUGUUUGGCCUAUCCGCCCUCCCUACUCCUUAUCAGUAUCUUCUGGUGCCAGCUAUGUCUCUUUUUCUGCUGAGUGGGGAAUUUGUCUCAGUACCUUGGCUACAUACAUUAUCUCCUAUCAGGCUCUGGUAUUUGUUCCUUGAACAUUCUUGUUCAGGCCUGCUAGCCCUAUGCUCUGUUAGGAGCCUGAACCAAACGUUUAUACACUUAUUUGUGAACCUGGAUUAAACAUUUCUAUAUUACUGGAAGGGAGAUAUCAAAAAAAUCCCCCACAAAGAAUGCACUUGUCUCUGCAAAUCCGGAGAUAUUGAAACAACGGCUCAUGUGAUCCUUUACUGUCAAUAUUACUGAGAUAUACAGCAUAAACAUAUAACCCCCACUUUUUAGCUGCCAUCCAGGCUGUACAGAUUCUUUUUAUCUUUUUUAACUGACCAGAAUUACUUGAGAUCUUAUAAUGUGGCUACGUUCUGUUUAAUAGCCAGUAACAUUCACCAGGAGUUCAUUAAGAAUCCUUGUUAACUGAUCUUUAUGCUCAACUAUGUGCUUAUCUACUGUAUGAUAACCCUGUAGGUUAUGUAGGUUUUUUUUGGGGG